GACAAGAAAGAGAACGCUGUUGGCAAAAUCCGACACAGCUGGCUGUUUGUUUUCUUGGAGAACCCAAAGAGUGUGCAAGGAAACAGAAAAGGACUAAAAGCCUGAGUUUCGUGAGUGUUAGGUGCCAUUACACCUGGAUCUGGAAAAGACACGGGGAGACAGACGUGGUUUCAAUUUGUGUAAUGAAGAAAAUCCAGCCUGGAAGUCCUGAGGUG
Molecule: long non-coding RNA, 215 nt
Organism: Phyllostomus hastatus (greater spear-nosed bat)
Lineage: Eukaryota; Metazoa; Chordata; Mammalia; Chiroptera; Phyllostomidae
Exons: 3
Source: RefSeq, a predicted model, not a curated record